GACUUCGUGGUCGAGUCGUAAGGACACUUGCCUCUCACUCUGGAGUCACGGGUUCGAUUCCAGGUCGAGGAGUUA
Molecule: non-coding RNA, 75 nt
Organism: Rhamnusium bicolor
Lineage: Eukaryota; Metazoa; Arthropoda; Insecta; Coleoptera; Cerambycidae
Source: the annotation of a GenBank genome assembly